AGAGUUUGAUCCUGGCUCAGAUUGAACGCUGGCGGCAUGCCUUACACAUGCAAGUCGAACGGUAACGCGGGGGCAACCCUGGCGACGAGUGGCGAACGGGUGAGUAAUACAUCGGAACAUAUCCAGUAGCGGGGGAUAACCUAUCGAAAGAUUGGCUAAUACCGCAUACGAUCUACGGAUGAAAGCGGGGGACCGCAAGGCCUCGCACUAUUGGAGUGGCCGAUGUCGGAUUAGCUAGUUGGUGGGGUAAAAGCUUACCAAGGCGACGAUCCGUUGCUGGUCUGAGAGGACGAUCAGCCACACUGGAACUGAGACACGGUCCAGACUCCUACGGGAGGCAGCAGUGGGGAAUUUUGGACAAUGGGCGCAAGCCUGAUCCAGCCAUGCCGCGUGAGUGAAGAAGGCCUUCGGGUUGUAAAGCUCUUUCGGUGAAGACGAAACGGUUAGCGUUAAUAGCGCUGACUAAUGACGGUACUCACAGAAGAAGCACCGGCUAACUACGUGCCAGCAGCCGCGGUAAUACGUAGGGUGCAGGCGUUAAUCGGAAUUACUGGGCGUAAAGCGUGCGCAGGCGGUUUGCUAAGACAGGUGUGAAAUCCCCGGGCUUAACCUGGGAAUUGCGCUUGUAACUGGCAGGCUAGAGUGUGGCAGAGGGGGGUGGAAUUCCACGUGUAGCAGUGAAAUGCGUAGAUAUGUGGAGGAACACCGAUGGCGAAGGCAGCCCCCUGGGUUAACACUGACGCUCAGGCACGAAAGCGUGGGGAGCAAACAGGAUUAGAUACCCUGGUAGUCCACGCCCUAAACUAUGUCAACUAGUUGUCGGGGAAGAAAUUCCUUGGUAACGAAGCUAACGCGUGAAGUUGACCGCCUGGGGAGUACGGCCGCAAGGUAAACUCAAAGGAAUUGACGG
This 910-nucleotide ribosomal RNA is filed under the name uncultured beta proteobacterium. RNAcentral describes it as "bacterial SSU rRNA". It matches the Rfam family "Bacterial small subunit ribosomal RNA", at positions 8 to 916 of the family's 1533-position model. The record is from RNAcentral. Lineage: Bacteria; Pseudomonadati; Pseudomonadota; Betaproteobacteria.